Neofelis nebulosa (Clouded leopard) is the source of this 345-nucleotide long non-coding RNA. RefSeq lists it as uncharacterized. The transcript is spliced from 2 exons. The record is from RefSeq and is a predicted model, not a curated record. Lineage: Eukaryota; Metazoa; Chordata; Mammalia; Carnivora; Felidae.
AGCACACUUCCAGAUAUAGGGAAAUCUGACUCUUUUCCCCCAGCCUGCUUGGCCAAAUGGGUAUCCUGAGGAGGGUUAUUUCAAGAGAGUAGGUGUCAUCAGGACCAGGGGCUGAUGGGAGUUGCCCGAGGCACAUGGGAGAGUGUGGAAGAACUGGAAAAACUUGGGUGUUGCUGAAGGUGACCUUGAGCUUGGACAAGUGAGGUAACUGACUUGAAAGCAGAGGAAAUAGUAACUUGACCACUACUCAGUACUACAUCAUGGAGAAUCUGUGGCUGAAUAAUUUUCCAGGCAAUAAUUUUAAGUUACCAAAAAUGUGUUAUUAAAAUAGUAGCCAAAUCUCAA